This 253-nucleotide ribosomal RNA is filed under the name uncultured bacterium. RNAcentral describes it as "partial 16S ribosomal RNA". It matches the Rfam family "Bacterial small subunit ribosomal RNA", at positions 524 to 776 of the family's 1533-position model. The record is from RNAcentral.
UACGGGGGGAGCAAGCGUUGUUCGGAUUUACUGGGCGUAAAGGGCGCGUAGGCGGCGUGACAAGUCACUUGUGAAAUCUCCGGGCUUAACUCGGAACGGUCAAGUGAUACUGUCGUGCUAGAGUACAGAAGGGGCAACUGGAAUUCUCGGUGUAGCGGUGAAAUGCGUAGAUAUCGAGAGGAACACCUGCGGCGAAGGCGGGUUGCUAGGCUGAUACUGACGCUGAGGCGCGAAAGCUAGGGGAGCGAACGGG